GCGUGUAUAAUGAGAUUUUUAAAGCUGCCCAUUAAAAAAAAGGUCACUGAUUUAAAACCCGAAUUUGACGGUACAUCACUCUUUGGACAGUUCGAAGAUCCAAUCAGCUCUUUGAUCUCCUUUUACGCGGUGGCUCUUGAUCCGUCCAUCGCUGCGGAGGCCGCCAAAGCCGUUUUAAUUCACCUUUUGAAAUGGGAAAGCGAAGAGUUGAGCAAUGAUAUUAACAAUAAUAAUAACGAUGAAGAACUGGAAAAAAGGCGGGAACUUUCAACUACUUGCUAUAAGGCUGC
This is a long non-coding RNA of Zophobas morio, 290 nucleotides long. RefSeq lists it as uncharacterized. The record is from RefSeq and is a predicted model, not a curated record. NCBI's taxonomy places the organism in Eukaryota, Metazoa, Arthropoda, Insecta, Coleoptera, Tenebrionidae. The transcript is spliced from 3 exons.